AUUGAACGCUGGCGGCAGGCCUAACACAUGCAAGUCGAGCGGAUGAAGGGAGCUUGCUCCUGGAUUCAGAGGCGGACGGGUGAGUAAUGCCUAGGAAUCUGCCUGGUAGUGGGGGAUAACGUCCGGAAACGGGCGCUAAUACCGCAUACGUCCUGAGGGAGAAAGUGGGGGAUCUUCGGACCUCACGCUAUCAGAUGAGCCUAGGUCGGAUUAGCUAGUUGGUGGGGUAAAGGCCUACCAAGGCGACGAUCCGUAACUGGUCUGAGAGGAUGAUCAGUCACACUGGAACUGAGACACGGUCCAGACUCCUACGGGAGGCAGCAGUGGGGAAUAUUGGACAAUGGGCGAAAGCCUGAUCCAGCCAUGCCGCGUGUGUGAAGAAGGUCUUCGGAUUGUAAAGCACUUUAAGUUGGGAGGAAGGGCAGUAAGUUAAUACCUUGCUGUUUUGACGUUACCAACAGAGUAAGCACCGGCUAACUUCGUG
RNAcentral lists this ribosomal RNA (484 nucleotides) under uncultured bacterium. Its description in RNAcentral is "partial 16S ribosomal RNA". It matches the Rfam family "Bacterial small subunit ribosomal RNA", at positions 30 to 507 of the family's 1533-position model. The record is from RNAcentral.